AUUUGGUAGGUAACUCAUUAUUUCCUUCUCAGCCAGCUUCUCCUAAUUUCGGAAAUUUAUGAACAAUUAAGUUAAAAAUUGUUCAAUUCUUGUGUUCUAGGUUCAAGUUAGCUUCCGGAACUUGUGGGCUCAAGCUAUUGAGCAUAUGGGUAUGGUGUAGAUUAAGUGGGUAUAUAUGCAUUGGGAAUAUUUGGAGGCUUGUUGGUGAUCAAAGCUUAGUUUGUGGCUGUUUUACUUGAGCUUGAAGAGGCUGUAAUUUUGUGUUAAGAAGCUGCCUUGGGUGAAUUAAGUGAUCGGCCAAGAUGCAGGUCGAGAGGCUCCUCGCUAGGCGUCUGGAUUCUGGAAAGCGAAGUAGUUCUUGGGUGUAUUUUGGUUUCUAUUUGUAUAUAUGUAUAUAUAUGUGUAGCUUACUCUCCAAGUAACUUAUGUAUGCUGCUCCUCUUAGAGGUUGAGGGAGAGAUAGGAGUUUACUUUGGUAUUUUGGUAUAUUUUGGGGACACUUAUGUAUAUUUAUAUGUAUAUAUGUAUCCUCCGGCCAGCCUUAGCUUCGCAGGCUGAGUCAGAGGCUAGUUAUGCUGUUCCUUGGCUUUUCUUUAUCCCUUCGUUUAUUGUUCUAUCAUAUUCCUAUUAGGUUUCU
Long non-coding RNA from Arachis stenosperma, 637 nucleotides. RefSeq lists it as uncharacterized. The transcript has 3 exons. NCBI's taxonomy places the organism in Eukaryota, Viridiplantae, Streptophyta, Magnoliopsida, Fabales, Fabaceae. The record is from RefSeq and is a predicted model, not a curated record.